This 468-nucleotide ribosomal RNA is filed under the name uncultured bacterium. Its description in RNAcentral is "partial 16S ribosomal RNA". It matches the Rfam family "Bacterial small subunit ribosomal RNA", at positions 28 to 507 of the family's 1533-position model. The record is from RNAcentral.
GACGAACGCUGGCGGUGUGCUUAACACAUGCAAGUCGAACGGUAAGGCCCUUUCGGGGGUACACGAGUGGCGCACGGGUGCGUAACACGUGAGUAACCUGCCCUCAUCUCUGGGAUAACAGUCGUAAACGGUUGCUACUACUGGAUAUGAGCUUGCAAGGCAUCUUGUGGGUUGGAAAGAUUUUUUUUGGUUGGGGAUGGACUCGCGGCCUAUCAGCUUGUUGGUGAGGUAGUGGCUCACCAAGGCUUCGACGGGUAGCCGGCCUGAGAGGGCGACCGGCCACAUUGGAACUGAGAUACGGCCCAAACUCCUACGGGAGGCAGCAGGGGGGAAUAUUGCACAAUGGACGGAAGUCUGAUGCAGCAACGCCGCGUGCGGGAUGACGGCCUUCGGGUUGUAAACAGCUUUCAAUUGUGACGAAGCGUUUUUGUGACGGUAGCAGUAGAAGAAGCACCGGCUAACUACGUG